GAUGAACGCUGGCGGCGCGCCUAACACAUGCAAGUCGAACGAUUAAAGCACCUUCGGGUGUGUAUAAAGUGGCGAACGGCUGAGUAACACGUGGGCAACCUGCCCCUCUCAUUGGGAUAGCCACGGGAAACCGUGGAUAAUACGGAAUACUUCGGGACUUCCUCAUGGAUGACUCGAGAAAGCUCCGGCGGAGAGGGAUGUGCCCGCGGCCUGUUAGCUUGUUGGUGGGGUAAUGGCCUACCAAGGCAAUGAUGGGUAGCUGGGUUGAGAGACCGACCAGCCAGAUUGGGACUGAGACACGGCCCAGACUCCUACGGGAGGCAGCAGUGGGGAAUCUUGCACAAUGGGCGAAAGCCUGAUGCAGCGACGCCGCGUGCGGGAUGAAGGCCUUCGGGUUGUAAACCGCUUUCAGCAGGGACGAGGCGAAAGUGACGGUACCUGCAGAAGAAGCCCCGGCUAACUACGUG
RNAcentral lists this ribosomal RNA (467 nucleotides) under uncultured bacterium. RNAcentral describes it as "partial 16S ribosomal RNA". It matches the Rfam family "Bacterial small subunit ribosomal RNA", at positions 28 to 507 of the family's 1533-position model. The record is from RNAcentral.